RNAcentral lists this ribosomal RNA (1491 nucleotides) under metagenome. Its description in RNAcentral is "bacterial SSU rRNA". It matches the Rfam family "Bacterial small subunit ribosomal RNA". The record is from RNAcentral.
AGAGUUUGAUCCUGGCUCAGAUUGAACGCUGGCGGCAUGCCUUACACAUGCAAGUCGAACGGCAGCACGGGAGCUUGCUCCUGGUGGCGAGUGGCGAACGGGUGAGUAAUAUAUCGGAACGUACCCUAGAGUGGGGGAUAACGCAGCGAAAGUUGCGCUAAUACCGCAUACGAUCUACGGAUGAAAGUGGGGGAUCGCAAGACCUCAUGCUCAUGGAGCGGCCGAUAUCUGAUUAGCUAGUUGGUAGGGUAAAAGCCUACCAAGGCUUCGAUCAGUAGCUGGUCUGAGAGGACGACCAGCCACACUGGAACUGAGACACGGUCCAGACUCCUACGGGAGGCAGCAGUGGGGAAUUUUGGACAAUGGGCACAAGCCUGAUCCAGCAAUGCCGCGUGAGUGAAGAAGGCCUUCGGGUUGUAAAGCUCUUUUGUCAGGGAAGAAACGGUGGACUCUAAUACAGAUCACUAAUGACGGUACCUGAAGAAUAAGCACCGGCUAACUACGUGCCAGCAGCCGCGGUAAUACGUAGGGUGCAAGCGUUAAUCGGAAUUACUGGGCGUAAAGCGUGCGCAGGCGGUUGUGCAAGACAGAUGUGAAAUCCCCGGGCUCAACCUGGGAAUUGCAUUUGUGACUGCACGGCUAGAGUGUGUCAGAGGGGGGUAGAAUUCCACGUGUAGCAGUGAAAUGCGUAGAGAUGUGGAGGAAUACCGAUGGCGAAGGCAGCCCCCUGGGAUAACACUGACGCUCAUGCACGAAAGCGUGGGGAGCAAACAGGAUUAGAUACCCUGGUAGUCCACGCCCUAAACGAUGUCUACUAGUUGUUGGGUCUUAAUUGACUUAGUAACGCAGCUAACGCGUGAAGUAGACCGCCUGGGGAGUACGGUCGCAAGAUUAAAACUCAAAGGAAUUGACGGGGACCCGCACAAGCGGUGGAUGAUGUGGAUUAAUUCGAUGCAACGCGAAAAACCUUACCUACCCUUGACAUGUACGGAAUCCCUGAGAGAUUAGGGAGUGCUCGAAAGAGAGCCGUAGCACAGGUGCUGCAUGGCUGUCGUCAGCUCGUGUCGUGAGAUGUUGGGUUAAGUCCCGCAACGAGCGCAACCCUUGUCAUUAGUUGCUACGAAAGGGCACUCUAAUGAGACUGCCGGUGACAAACCGGAGGAGGGUGGGGAUGACGUCAAGUCCUCAUGGCCCUUAUGGGUAGGGCUUCACACGUCAUACAAUGGUACAUACAGAGGGCCGCCAACCCGCGAGGGGGAGCUAAUCCCAGAAAGUGUAUCGUAGUCCGGAUUGUAGUCUGCAACUCGACUACAUGAAGUUGGAAUCGCUAGUAAUCGCGGAUCAGCAUGUCGCGGUGAAUACGUUCCCGGGUCUUGUACACACCGCCCGUCACACCAUGGGAGCGGGUUUCACCAGAAGUAGGUAGCCUAACCGUAAGGAGGGCGCUUACCACGGUGGGAUUCGUGACUGGGGUGAAGUCGUAACAAGGUA